AAUUACUGUAUCUUGUGUUCAUGAGGAAAGACAGUUUGAAAACACAAAGACUGUCUCUCUGCUGAAACUAAAAGGCUUUUCUCAAGAUGAUCGAUCCACUCAAACUGAAAAACUUAGUUUUUAGUGUUGGAGGUGGCACAGCAGUGAAAACAGCAAAUGCAGUGAUUCCAUCUAAUGAAGUUGUGACGCCGAUAAUAAUCACAUUGCUCUUCCUUGGAUACUACAUGUUCACCAAAGAUAUGUCUUCAGAAGAUGUCACCAAGGUAGUGAUUGGAAUGAUGGCACUGAAUGUCACUGAUAUGCUCAAAAUGGAACCUAAGUUGGCGUGUGGAUUCAAUGCUUUUGUCAUACUCAUACUUGCGAUUCUAUCUUUGAAUAUUAACCAGGAAGCAGUUAAGAAGAAAGAAACAGAUUAACCAGAUAAAACCCAUAUAAGUGUUACAAUUAAUAACACUGUACACUGUACCUACACUGUAAAAAAAACCACACUGAAUGGAACGCUUAGGAUGUGAUGAAAAAAAUAAAAUGAAUGCAUAGGUUU
Long non-coding RNA from Lates calcarifer (barramundi perch), 541 nucleotides. RefSeq lists it as uncharacterized. NCBI's taxonomy places the organism in Eukaryota, Metazoa, Chordata, Actinopteri, Centropomidae. The transcript is spliced from 3 exons. The record is from RefSeq and is a predicted model, not a curated record.